Molecule: ribosomal RNA, 431 nt
Filed under: Fusobacterium naviforme
Lineage: Bacteria; Fusobacteriati; Fusobacteriota; Fusobacteriia; Fusobacteriales; Fusobacteriaceae
Description: bacterial SSU rRNA
Rfam family: Bacterial small subunit ribosomal RNA
Source: RNAcentral
GAUGAACGCUGACAGAAUGCUUAACACAUGCAAGUCAACUUGAAUUUGGGUUUUUAACUUAGGUUGGGGUGGCGGACGGGUGAGUAACGCGUAAAGAACUUGCCUCACAGUUAGGGACAACAUUUGGAAACGAAUGCUAAUACCUGAUAUUAUGAUAAUAGGGCAUCCCAUAAUUAUGAAAGCUAUAAGCGCUGUGAGAGAGCUUUGCGUCCCAUUAGCUAGUUGGAGAGGUAACGGCUCACCAAGGCGAUGAUGGGUAGCCGGCCUGAGAGGGUGAUCGGCCACAAGGGGACUGAGACACGGCCCUUACUCCUACGGGAGGCAGCAGUGGGGAAUAUUGGACAAUGGACCGAGAGUCUGAUCCAGCAAUUCUGUGUGCACGAUGAAGUUUUUCGGAAUGUAAAGUGCUUUCAGUUGGGAAGAAAAAAAUG